AACGAACGCUGGCGGCAUGCCUAACACAUGCAAGUCGAACGAGACCUUCGGGUCUAGUGGCGCACGGGUGCGUAACGCGUGGGAACCUGCCCUUAGGUUCGGCAUAACUCCCCGAAAGGGGUGCUAAUACCGGAUCAUGUCUUCGGACCAAAGAUUUAUCGCCUUUGGAUGGGCCCGCGUGGGAUUAGCUAGUUGGUAGGGUAAAAGCCUACCAAGGCGACGAUCCAUAGCUGGGUUGAGAGGAUGAUCAGCCACACUGGGACUGAGACACGGCCCAGACUCCUACGGGAGGCAGCAGUGGGGAAUAUAGGACAAUGGGCGAAAGCCUGAUCCAGCAAUGCCGCGUGAGUGAUGAAGGCCGUAGGGUUGUAAAGCUCUUUUACCCGGGAUGAUAAUGACAGUACCGGGAGAAUAAGCUCCGGCUAACUCCGUG
Molecule: ribosomal RNA, 433 nt
Filed under: uncultured bacterium
Lineage: Bacteria
Description: partial 16S ribosomal RNA
Rfam family: Bacterial small subunit ribosomal RNA
Source: RNAcentral